AGCAGCCGCGGUAAUUCCAGCUCCAAUAGCGUAUAUUAAAGUUGUUGCAGUUAAAAAGCUCGUAGUUGAAUUUCGGGAUCAAGGAAUCGGUCAUGCCUUGGUAUGUACUGGUUUUAUUGGUUCUCACCUUCUAAAGAACCAUAAUGUCAUUCAUUUGAUGUUAUGAGGAAUUAGGACUGUUACCUUGAAAAAUUAGAGUGUUUAAAGCAGGCUUACGCUUGAAUACAUCAGCAUGGAAUAAUGAAAUAGGACAUCAGAUUCUAUUUUGUUGGUUUCUAGGAUCGAUGUAAUGAUUAAUAGGGAUAGUUGGGGCAUUAGUAUUCAAUUGUCAGAGGUGAAAUUCUUGGAUUUAUUGAAGACUAACUACUGCGAAAGCA
This 377-nucleotide ribosomal RNA is filed under the name uncultured Glomeromycotina. RNAcentral's name for it is "SSU rRNA". It matches the Rfam family "Eukaryotic small subunit ribosomal RNA", at positions 569 to 953 of the family's 1831-position model. Lineage: Eukaryota; Fungi; Glomeromycota. The record is from RNAcentral.